Scylla paramamosain (green mud crab) is the source of this 453-nucleotide long non-coding RNA. RefSeq lists it as uncharacterized. The transcript is spliced from 2 exons. Lineage: Eukaryota; Metazoa; Arthropoda; Malacostraca; Decapoda; Portunidae. The record is from RefSeq and is a predicted model, not a curated record.
GUGCAUAAGAGUGGGAGAGGGCGAAGGAGCGGCGAAGGCUGCCAGGAGUAUAUAAGACUGGUGAGAGCGAACUUCGGCAUCACUGGAAGACAGCGACUCGUCAAAGCAAUAGCAACAUGUUCAAAGCCAUGUUUGCUGUACUCAGUGUAUUCUUAUUGGUGGUUGCCGCACUGACCAGCGCCAUGCCGGAGCCGGGAUACCGUAGCUAUGGCGGCUAUGGUGGCGGACACGGUUACGGCUACGCUGGAUAUGGGGGCGGGUAUGGUGCAUAUGGUGGCGGCCAUGGCGGUGGCUACGGACGCUGAGAUGGAGGGUGCCACGUACCUGAACUGACAACGAUGCAUCCAAGACGAAAGUGUUGCGUGCUUAUUGCUGUACACUAUUGUGAAAUGACUAUUGGAGUUUUUUUUUUUUUUUAACUCCUUAAAUCGAGAAGUAAAAUUUUACAUUACA